AACUUUCGGCAACGGAUCACUUGGCUCUCGCAUCGAUGAAGAACGCAGCGAAAUGCGAAAAGUAAUGGGAAUUGCAGAAUUCAGUGAAUCAUCGAAUCUUUGAACGCACCUUGCGCCCCUUGGACAUUCCUAGGGGCAUGCCUGUUUGAGUAUCAUGAACACAUCAACUCUCUACGGUUUGCCGUGGUGCGCUUGGACUUUGGAGGCUUGCUGGCCCACGGUCGGCUCCUCUCAAAUGAAUCAGCUUCCCAGUGUUUGGUGGCGUCACGGGUGUGAUAACUAUCUACGCUCGCGGCAGCCUGCCUCGUAACCUUCGGAGACGGAGGUUCGCUGGAGCUCAAAAACGUCUCUCCUCAGCGAAGACCGCUUUUUUAACGUUCGAUCUCAAAUCAGGUAGGACUACCCGCUGAAUUUAAGCAUAUCAAUAAGCGGAGGCU
This 437-nucleotide unclassified non-coding RNA is filed under the name uncultured fungus. RNAcentral describes it as "sequence contains ITS2". The stretch from base 1 to 155 matches the Rfam family "5.8S ribosomal RNA". Lineage: Eukaryota; Fungi. The record is from RNAcentral.